Molecule: ribosomal RNA, 495 nt
Filed under: uncultured bacterium
Lineage: Bacteria
Description: partial 16S ribosomal RNA
Rfam family: Bacterial small subunit ribosomal RNA
Source: RNAcentral
GACGAACGCUGGCGGCGUGCCUAAUACAUGCAAGUAGAACGCUGAAGGAGGAGCUUGCUUCUCUGGAUGAGUUGCGAACGGGUGAGUAACGCGUAGGUAACCUGCCUGGUAGCGGGGGAUAACUAUUGGAAACGAUAGCUAAUACCGCAUAAUAGUAGAUGUUGCAUGACAUUUGCUUAAAAGGUGCAAUUGCAUCACUACCAGAUGGACCUGCGUUGUAUUAGCUAGUUGGUGGGGUAACGGCUCACCAAGGCGACGAUACAUAGCCGACCUGAGAGGGGGAUCGGCCACACUGGGACUGAGACACGGCCCAGACUCCUACGGGAGGCAGCAGUAGGGAAUCUUCGGCAAUGGACGGAAGUCUGACCGAGCAACGCCGCGUGAGUGAAGGAGGUUUUCGGAUCGUAAAGCUCUGUUGUAAGAGAAGAACGAGUGUGAGAGUGGAAAGUUCACACUGUGACGGUAUCUUACCAGAAAGGGACGGCUAACUACGUG